This is a long non-coding RNA of Alosa sapidissima (American shad), 332 nucleotides long. RefSeq lists it as uncharacterized. The transcript is spliced from 2 exons. Lineage: Eukaryota; Metazoa; Chordata; Actinopteri; Clupeiformes; Clupeidae. The record is from RefSeq and is a predicted model, not a curated record.
UUCCGGAUCUUCUCGAUUACUCUCCGAUCUUCAGCCCCCCCGGCCUCCGACCACCAGACGAGCGAGCCCCGACGCGUCACCACCCUCAGCCCGAGACGCCGCUCGAUCACUGGGGGACACACGCACUCAGCACCUUGGACUGGAACCCCCCGGAAACUUGGUGACCCCCGGAGCCCAGGUAACCCACAGGACCCUGAAAAACCCCAGAGCCCCUGGAACCCCUGACACCCCUGGCACUCCUAGCACCCCUGGACCCGGAACCUCCAAGACCUCACGAUUCUCUCACUCCUCUUCCCCCCUGAACCCUUCAAUAAAAAGACUCUGAAUUUGAA